UACAGAGGUCUCAAGCGUUGUUCGGAUUCAUUGGGCGUAAAGGGCGCGUAGGCGGCGCGGUAAGUCGGGUGUGAAAUCUUGGAGCUUAACUCCGAAACUGCAUUCGAUACUGCCGUGCUUGAGGACUGGAGAGGAGACUGGAAUUUACGGUGUAGCGGUGAAAUGCGUAGAUAUCGUAAGGAAGACCAGUGGCGAAGGCGGGUCUCUGGACAGUUCCUGACGCUGAAGCACGAAGGCCAGGGGAGCAAACGGG
Molecule: ribosomal RNA, 253 nt
Filed under: uncultured bacterium
Lineage: Bacteria
Description: partial 16S ribosomal RNA
Rfam family: Bacterial small subunit ribosomal RNA
Source: RNAcentral